Small nuclear RNA from Suncus etruscus (white-toothed pygmy shrew), 164 nucleotides. RefSeq annotates it as U1 spliceosomal RNA. The record is from RefSeq and is a predicted model, not a curated record. Lineage: Eukaryota; Metazoa; Chordata; Mammalia; Eulipotyphla; Soricidae. The transcript has a single exon.
AUACUUACCCGGCAGGGGAGAUAUCAUGAUCACAAAGAUAGUUUCCCCAGGGAGAGGCUCACCCAUUGCACUACGGAUAUGCUGACUCCUGCAAUUUCCCCAAAUGUGAGAAACUUGACUGUAUAAUUUGUAGUAGUGGGGGACUGUGUUAGCACUCUCCCCUA